MicroRNA precursor from Bos indicus x Bos taurus (hybrid cattle), 84 nucleotides. Lineage: Eukaryota; Metazoa; Chordata; Mammalia; Artiodactyla; Bovidae. The record is from Ensembl.
AGCCUGCCGAUGGGCGUCUUACCAGACACGGUUAGAUCUGGUCCUUCUGUCUAAUACUGUCUGGUAAUGCCGUCCAUCCCCGGC